RNAcentral lists this ribosomal RNA (284 nucleotides) under Blautia luti. Its description in RNAcentral is "partial 16S ribosomal RNA". It matches the Rfam family "Bacterial small subunit ribosomal RNA", at positions 493 to 776 of the family's 1533-position model. Lineage: Bacteria; Bacillati; Bacillota; Clostridia; Lachnospirales; Lachnospiraceae. The record is from RNAcentral.
UCUUUUCCUUUUUUGCCCGCCGCCGCGGUAAUACGUAGGGGGCAAGCGUUAUCCGGAUUUACUGGGUGUAAAGGGAGCGUAGACGGAUGGACAAGUCUGAUGUGAAAGGCUGGGGCUCAACCCCGGGACUGCAUUGGAAACUGCCCGUCUUGAGUGCCGGAGAGGUAAGCGGAAUUCCUAGUGUAGCGGUGAAAUGCGUAGAUAUUAGGAGGAACACCAGUGGCGAAGGCGGCUUACUGGACGGUAACUGACGUUGAGGCUCGAAAGCGUGGGGAGCAAACAGG